CUGCUGUAGAGUUCGUAGGACACGAUGACACAAUACCGCUUGGCGACUCAUUGUGUCAACACCUUUAAAUCAAUUAAUUAAAUUAAAUCAUUAAUGCGAAAAAUACUCUUUAAAUGAAAGGAGGAGAAGAGAAAACUAAUUGCUAGCAUUGCAACACCUACCAAGCUCUUUUUGAUAAAUAAAUGAGCUGCUUUUGCUACAGUAUAUGGAUAUAUAUUACAGUAGGCAAUGACAGGCCAAAACAAAUUACAUCCAUACACCAAUUGACCUGGAUGAAGAAAAAAUAAUACGAAUUAAAAAUGUACCACUAAAAUGAACCGAUCUUGUUUUGUCAAAAAUAUUACGAUUUUGAUCUAAUCUUUGGACAGUUUCUGUAAGUUUAUGGUAAUACAGAAUGCUGAUAAUAGGGCAGAAUUAUACUAUUUUAUGGAGAAGUAUUUUGUUUCCAUUACGUGCUAUAAACACUAAUCUUUAGCAUAGGCUGUUUUGUUUGUGUCCUCGACUCGAGGCUACUAGCGAAAAACGUGAUUGAAUCAUUUUUAACUUUGUUUGGUCUGACUUCGGUACCGGAA
Molecule: long non-coding RNA, 572 nt
Organism: Musca domestica (house fly)
Lineage: Eukaryota; Metazoa; Arthropoda; Insecta; Diptera; Muscidae
Exons: 4
Source: RefSeq, a predicted model, not a curated record